CAGAGUUCAUGCCCUAACGGGUAGAUCUCCCACCCUAUGUUAUCAUCACUUUGUUGCUUUGGCGGGCCGUCAGGCCUCGGCUUGGCUACCGGCUCUCGCUGGUAAGCGCCCGCCAGAGAACCCCAAACCCUGAAUAUCAGUGUCGUCUGAGUACUAUAUAAUAGUUA
This 167-nucleotide unclassified non-coding RNA is filed under the name uncultured Leptodontidium. RNAcentral describes it as "sequence contains ITS1". Lineage: Eukaryota; Fungi; Ascomycota. The record is from RNAcentral.